This 24-nucleotide microRNA is filed under the name Brachypodium distachyon (stiff brome). RNAcentral describes it as "bdi-miR5174d-5p". Lineage: Eukaryota; Viridiplantae; Streptophyta; Magnoliopsida; Poales; Poaceae. The record is from miRBase by way of RNAcentral.
UCCCUCCGUUUCAUAAAGAUUGGC